Molecule: ribosomal RNA, 982 nt
Filed under: Mucor circinelloides
Lineage: Eukaryota; Fungi; Mucoromycota; Mucoromycetes; Mucorales; Mucoraceae
Description: partial large subunit ribosomal RNA
Rfam family: Eukaryotic large subunit ribosomal RNA
Source: RNAcentral
GAUUUCCUAGUAACGGCGAGUGAAGAGGAAAGAGCUCAAAGUUGGAAACUGUUUGGCUUAGCUAAACCGUAUUGUAAACUGUAGAAACAUUUUCCUGGCACGCCGGAUUAAUAAGUCCUUUGGAACAAGGCAUCAUGGAGGGUGAGAAUCCCGUCUUUGAUCCGAGUAGUUGUCUUUUGUGAUAUGUUUUCAAAGAGUCAGGUUGUUUGGGAAUGCAGCCUAAAUUGGGUGGUAAAUCUCACCUAAAGCUAAAUAUUUGCGAGAGACCGAUAGCGAACAAGUACCGUGAGGGAAAGAUGAAAAGAACUUUGAAAAGAGAGUUAAACAGUAUGUGAAAUUGUUAAAAGGGAACCGUUUGGAGCCAGACUGGUUUGACUGUAAUCAACCUAGAAUUCGUUCUGGGUGCACUUGCAGUCUAUACCUGCCAACAACAGUUUGAUUUGGAGGAAAAAAUUAGUAGGAAUGUAGCCUCUCGAGGUGUUAUAGCCUACUAUCAUACUCUGGAUUGGACUGAGGAACGCAGCGAAUGCCUUUAGGCGAGAUUGCUGGGUGCUUUCGCUAAUAAAUGUUAGAAUUUCUGCUUCGGGUGGUGCUAAUGUUUAAAGGAGGAACACAUCUAGUAUAUUUUUUAUUCGCUUAGGUUGUUGGCUUAAUGACUCUAAAUGACCCGUCUUGAAACACGGACCAAGGAGUCCACCAUAAGUGCAAGUAUUUGAGUGACAAACUCAUAUGCGUAAGGAAACUGAUUGAUACGAAAUCUUUUGAUGGCAGUAUCACCCGGCGUUGACGUUUUAUACUGAACUGACCGAGGUAAAGCACUUAUGAUGGGACCCGAAAGAUGGUGAACUAUGCCUGAAUAGGGUGAAAGCCAGAGGAAAACUCUGGUGGAGGCUCGUAGCGAUUCUGACGUGCAAAUCGAUCGUCAAAUUUGGGUAUAGGGGGCGAAAGACUAAUCGAACCCAUCUAGUAGCUGGGUUCUGCG